RNAcentral lists this ribosomal RNA (452 nucleotides) under uncultured bacterium. RNAcentral describes it as "bacterial SSU rRNA". It matches the Rfam family "Bacterial small subunit ribosomal RNA", at positions 335 to 777 of the family's 1533-position model. The record is from RNAcentral.
ACUCCUACGGGAGGCAGCAGUAGGGAAGUCUUCCACAAUGGGCGCAAGCCUGAUGGAGCAACACCGCGUGAGUGAAGAAGGGUUUCGGCUCGUAAAGCUCUGUUGUUAAAGAAGAACACGUAUGAGAGUAACUGUUCAUACGUUGACGGUAUUUAACCAGAAAGUCACGGCUAACUACGUGCCAGCAGCCGCGGUAAUACGUAGGUGGCAAGCGUUAUCCGGAUUUAUUGGGGCGUAAAGAGAGUGCAGGCGGUUUUCUAAGUCUGAUGUGAAAGCCUUCGGCUUAACCGGAGAAGUGCAUCGGAAACUGGAUAACUUGAGUGCAGAAGAGGGUAGUGGAACUCCAUGUGUAGCGGUGGAAUGCGUAGAUAUAUGGAAGAACACCAGUGGCGAAGGCGGCUACCUGGUCUGCAACUGACGCUGAGACUCGAAAGCAUGGGUAGCGAACAGGA